This 320-nucleotide ribosomal RNA is filed under the name uncultured eukaryote. RNAcentral describes it as "partial 18S ribosomal RNA". It matches the Rfam family "Eukaryotic small subunit ribosomal RNA", at positions 1470 to 1796 of the family's 1831-position model. The record is from RNAcentral.
CCCUUAGAUGUUCUGGGCUGCACGCGCGCUACACUGACACACCCAGCGAGUCUCCUGCCCUGACAGGGUUGGGUAAUCAUUGGAGUGUGUGUCGUGAUGGGGAUAGAGUAUUGCAAUUAUUGCUCUCGAACGAGGAAUUCCUAGUAAGCACAAGUCAGCAGCUUGUGCUGAUUACGUCCCUGCCCUUUGUACACACCGCCCGUCGCUCCUACCGAGGGGGUGAUCCGGUGAAUGAUUCGGACUUUGGCGUUUCUAGCUGCUGGCAGCGCUGAAGAAAGUUUUGUGAACCUUAUCACUUGGAGGAAGGAGAAGUCGUAACA